AUUAUUUUUCUAAAAACUAUUGCUCCAAAAGCAAAGUAGUGAUAGUAAGAAGUAGACAUUUUGACUCUAGUUUGUUAAAGAGGAAAUGAUAACCUAUUAACGGCCAUUAACCAACCUGCUGUUUAUAAACGUCCAAACGCGGCACUACUUAAUUUACUUUGUCUCUUCCCGUGUUUCACUCUCUUCCUCUGUGUCUUGUCAAUUGUCAGAACCGAAACCAAUCGUAGCCGUUCACUUGUUACCAUGAUGUCUGAUAUUACGUUGGAGAUUUUUCAUUCUUUUUAUGUUUACAUAUACCUUUCACUUUUGCCAAGGAUAUUAAUUAUUAUUCUCCCCUUUUCUUUUUCCCACCAUUUCAUUCAAAAAAAUUCUAGUGCUACACGUCAAAUUCAAAUGCCCAAAUCACUUACUCUUUUCCAGU
Molecule: long non-coding RNA, 421 nt
Filed under: Vigna radiata
Lineage: Eukaryota; Viridiplantae; Streptophyta; Magnoliopsida; Fabales; Fabaceae
Description: long non-coding RNA (VRAD_LNC011211)
Source: RNAcentral